GGUGGGGGAUGGGCUCGCGGCCUAUCAGCUUGUUGGUGAGGUAAUGGCUCACCAAGGCGUCGACGGGUAGCCGGCCUGAGAGGGUGACCGGCCACACUGGGACUGAGACACGGCCCAGACUCUUACGGGAGGCAGCAGUGGGGAAUAUUGCACAAUGGGCGGAAGCNUGAUGCAGCAACGCCGCGUGAGGGAUGACGGCCUUCGGGUUGUAAACCUCUUUUAGCAGGGAAGAAGCGAAAGUGACGGUACCUGCAGAAAAAGCACCGGCUAANUACGUGCCNGCAGCCGCGGUAAUANGUAGGGUGCGAGCGUUNUCCGGAAUUAUUGGGCGUAAAGAGCUCGUAGGCGGUUUGUCGNGUNUGCUGUGAAAUCCCGAGGCUCAACCUCGGGCCUGCAGUGGGUACGGGCAGACUAGAGUGCGGUAGGGGAGAUUGGAAUUCCUGGUGUAGCGGUGGAAUGCGCAGAUAUCAGGAGGAACACCGAUGGNGAAGGCAGAUCUNUGGGCCGUAACUGACGNUGAGGAGCGAAAGGGUGGGGAGCAAACAGGCUUAGAUACCCUGGUAGUCCACCCCGUAAACGUUGGGAACUAGUUGUGGGGUCCUUUCCACGGAUUCCGUGACGCAGCUAACGCAUUAAGUUCCCCGCNUGGGGAGUACGGCCGCAAGGCUAAAACUCAAAGGAAUUGACGGGGACCCGCACAAGCGGCGGAGCAUGCGGAUUAAUUNGAUGCAACGCGAANAACCUNACCAAGGCUUGACAUACACGAGAACGGGCCAGAAAUGGUCAACUCUUUGGACACUCGGAACAGGU
This 810-nucleotide ribosomal RNA is filed under the name Microbacterium azadirachtae. RNAcentral's name for it is "bacterial SSU rRNA". It matches the Rfam family "Bacterial small subunit ribosomal RNA", at positions 217 to 1039 of the family's 1533-position model. Lineage: Bacteria; Bacillati; Actinomycetota; Actinomycetes; Micrococcales; Microbacteriaceae. The record is from RNAcentral.